AACGAACGCUGGCGGCAGGCCUAACACAUGCAAGUCGAGCGCGCCCUUCGGGGUGAGCGGCGGACGGGUGAGUAACGCGUGGGAACGUGCCCUUUUCUACGGAAUAGCCUCGGGAAACUGAGAGUAAUACCGUAUACGCCCUUUGGGGGAAAGAUUUAUCGGAAAAGGAUCGGCCCGCGUUGGAUUAGGUAGUUGGUGGGGUAAUGGCCUACCAAGCCGACGAUCCAUAGCUGGGUUGAGAGGAUGAUCAGCCACACUGGGACUGAGACACGGCCCAGACUCCUCCGGGAGGCAGCAGUGGGGAAUCGUAGACAAUGGCGGCAACCCUGAUCUAGCCAUGCCGCGUGAGUGAUGAAGGCCUUAGGGUUGUAAAGCUCUUUCAGCUGGGAAGAUAAUGACGGUACCAGCAGAAGAAGCCCCGGCUAACUCCGUG
This 433-nucleotide ribosomal RNA is filed under the name uncultured bacterium. Its description in RNAcentral is "partial 16S ribosomal RNA". It matches the Rfam family "Bacterial small subunit ribosomal RNA", at positions 29 to 507 of the family's 1533-position model. The record is from RNAcentral.